UGGGGAAUAUUGCACAAUGGGCGAAAGCCUGAUGCAGCAACGCCGCGUGAGUGAUGAAGGCCUUCGGGUUGUAAAGCUCUGUCUUUUGGGACGAUAAUGACGGUACCAAAGGAGGAAGCCACGGCUAACUACGUGCCAGCAGCCGCGGUAAUACGUAGGUGGCGAGCGUUGUCCGGAUUUACUGGGCGUAAAGGAUGCGUAGGCGGAUAUUUAAGUGAGAUGUGAAAUACCCGAGCUUAACUUGGGUGCUGCAUUUCAAACUGGAUAUCUAGAGUGCGGGAGAGGAGAAUGGAAUUCCUAGUGUAGCGGUGAAAUGCGUAGAGAUUAGGAAGAACACCAGUGGCGAAGGCGAUUCUCUGGACCGUAACUGACGCUGAGGCAUGAAAGCGUGGGGAGCAAACA
This 402-nucleotide ribosomal RNA is filed under the name uncultured bacterium. Its description in RNAcentral is "bacterial SSU rRNA". It matches the Rfam family "Bacterial small subunit ribosomal RNA", at positions 355 to 774 of the family's 1533-position model. The record is from RNAcentral.